Molecule: long non-coding RNA, 1484 nt
Filed under: Equus asinus (donkey)
Lineage: Eukaryota; Metazoa; Chordata; Mammalia; Perissodactyla; Equidae
Description: lncRNA (ENSEASG00005035996.1)
Source: RNAcentral
CUGUGGAUUGAAAUUGGGGGGUUUCCAAGUGUCGCUAUCACAACGAGCUGCAGUGAACAUCCCUGCACGCAUGUUCUUAAACCCUAACGUUCUUAUCUGUGACAGACAGAAACUGUCAGAUGGUUUUCUAGAAGGUUGCUUUAAUUUGCAUGAUAGUACUUGAGUUUUGAGCAGAUCUGAACGUGAGAUUUCAAGCAAGUAAAGAAAGGAGAUCUUAAGCAAUUUCAUAAUUAUUCCAAAUAUGCAUAGAAAAUAGAAAGUUGAAAAAUAAAAUAUUAAGUAUACUUAUAAAGGCUUACGUUUGAAACUGCUGAAUCUGAAAUCAGAUACGUGAGGAGAAGAAAUAUUUUUCAAAGCAAAACAAAACAGAAACAUGAUUUUAGCCCCCGGAAUGGAAUAUCAAGAAUUAAAAGGCAAAAAAAAUUCCUCUCUAAAAUCACAGAAAUAGGUCAUUCAUGCAACUCUGUAGACAGGCAGCUGAGCUGACUGGUUAUUUAAAUUUGGUUCAACAGCAACCUGGAAAAACUGACAGUAACUCGUUCAAGCCCAGUGAGCCCGUCUUCCGGAGCUGCCUCUCUGAGCAGGGAGCCGCAAGCCAGCCCCUCCCAGGCCCCUGCUGCCCGCUGGCUAGGGAGCAGACCCCAUCUCUGUGAGAAGGACAGACAUUCAGAGCUAGGCUAUUCAAAGUCGUCAGGAUGACAUGGAGGAAGAGUUACUUGUCCUGUCAAUGUUUCAUUUUGAGGCUGCUCUGAAAGGGAGGAGAUUCUUUUAUCCAGCACACUUUCUCACUAAUCCCGCCACUCUGUUUCCUUGGACUCCGUGGUGACCAGCUGGUCCUGUGUGCAGGCAGCUGGUCGAGGCUGUGGAACAGCUAGUUGGUCAGCAGUGGAAACAAGCUCGUGACCUCCACCUCCUGAACUGAAUGCUCGAUCAUUAGCUGAGCACGGGCUUGGGUACCUCAGAGCUGGGCAGUCAGCGCUCCAGCACUUACUGAUUGUGAAAAAUCAGGCAGGCUGCACGUCUUCACUCAAACUCAAUUUUUCAUCCAUGAACUGGGAAUAAUAAUUGCUCUCUAAUGGUGAUUUUGAGAGGAUUAAAUGAACUGAAAUAUGUAAAGCAUAUGCCUCAGUAACUAAAUAAAUGGACACUCUUUGGCACCCCCAGCAAAAAAAAAGCCAAUAUGACGCCCUUCCUUCAGAUAUAAUUCUCACGUUUUCUGACCUGGGCCAGGAGGAGAAACAGCUGGCCACACUCUGAGUGUUGAGCAGCAGCAGCAGAAAAGCCUCCUUAAAAUCAGUGUGUGCAAAUAGGCGUGCAGGUGUUUAUGGAAAACCUUGUACAAAAUUUAAAGUAAUCAGAGAAUAUCUCCCUUCUAUCGCACCCCAGAGAAUCCUGAGAACGUCUGUGCUUGGUAAAGCCUUUGUCUGACUCCUGGUUUGAGUCAAAGUUUCAACCUAGCUCUCCAUUUCUCGUCUAGCAGUCUA